RNAcentral lists this transfer RNA (547 nucleotides) under uncultured cyanobacterium. RNAcentral's name for it is "16S-23S ribosomal RNA intergenic spacer". The stretch from base 208 to 280 matches the Rfam family "tRNA". Lineage: Bacteria; Bacillati; Cyanobacteriota. The record is from RNAcentral.
CAGGGAGACAACAAAAUGUAAAUAUUAAUUUUGUCACCUUAGGUCGAUCGGUAUCUCAGAUCCUUAUUUUAAGAAUUUCAGUUUCUAAGUUUUUUCUAGGUCACACCCAUCACUUUUUCCUGGGCCAUUAGCUCAGGUGGUUAGAGCGCACCCCUGAUAAGGGUGAGGUCCCUGGUUCAAGUCCAGGAUGGCCCAUAUCUCUAUGUUGGGGGUAUAGCUCAGUUGGUAGAGCGCCUGCUUUGCAAGCAGGAUGUCAGCGGUUCGAGUCCGCUUACCUCCACUGAAUACCACCUCUUACAUAUAUUGAAGGAGGGAAAUUGUUUUGAGUCGUGUCCUAAUUUGCUCUGAGCGAAUCUAGCUUCCUAUUUAUUCAAUAAAUAAGAUGCUGGACUCAUUGAAUUUUUUUCAUUGUUUUUCAGAGAACCUCGACAACUGCAUAGAUUAUUUUUGAAGACAAUAAGCAUCUUUAAUGAUGCAGAUUUAUUAUUUGUGCUAAUGCAUUAAAUAACAAUUCUAUUAAGCUGAUGCUUCAAUUAUUGAAGUUAUU